This 281-nucleotide long non-coding RNA is filed under the name Lathyrus oleraceus (garden pea). RNAcentral describes it as "Pisum sativum (pea) long non-coding RNA (PSAT_LNC038185)". The record is from RNAcentral. Lineage: Eukaryota; Viridiplantae; Streptophyta; Magnoliopsida; Fabales; Fabaceae.
UUGACCUUGUUAUUUGUAUUGAGGAUUUUCUGCCAAAAACACAACAGAACUGAAACAUUGCCAAAACCAAAGGCAACUGCUAACAGCAGCCUUGUCUACCAUUUCAUGCCUCACAACAUCCAGCAGCAGAAAACCAGUCAUCUUACUUUGACCAUCUUUCUAGCAAAAAAAAACCAACACAUUUGUCUCUCAAAACUAACCUAGCUGUUAACUGCAUUCCCAUUUUAUUCCUAUCAUGCUGCAGACCAAUGGUAGGCACAAAAGCCAGCCUAACACAAAGC